CCGAGAACGAGGAGACAGAAAUAGCAAUGGAGCCAACCAGCGGGAGAGAGGCCACCCCUCCACCGGACCUCCUGAGUCCUUCACGCGGUAUCACAAGCUUGUCCCCUCCCUGCACAACUGGAGCCUGUUGCAGAGCCCUGGGGCCAGUCUGGGCCGCUUCUCCGACAGCCUCGGGCUGCACCUCCCUCCCUUCUGCUUUUAAGCUGCAUCAUCAGCUGCGGUGUUCUGUGUUCACCCACAUCCCCUCCUCCUAGCCUCUGGGCCGUUUGAUUCUGCGACACUCCUUUAGGAGCAGUUUCUAAAGAAUUCAACAAGAUAAUAUUUAUAAGGUACUUUAUCCAGGACUGGGAACCUGGUAAGGCUCAAGUGAAUGUUAGCUAUUAAUAUCCUUCUUAAAAAUGACACAUCAUUAGGCUGAAUUAAAUCACUGCUAAAUAGAUAGGUAUGGGUUAUGGAGAGUUCAGUCUGUGUCCCGCUUAUUUGCUGCUAGAUUCAUUGGCAAGAAUGAAAAGUAAUUGUUUCUGUCGCUGUCACCCCCACCACCAUGCAUACAUCUACAAAGAGCAGCUGGGCCUGGAGUACUUAAGUUUGAGACAUCCUUGCACUCAAGAGUGAACCGUUUUUGAGUUUGAGGCCACACUGCAGUAUCAAAAAGGCUUUGUUUUCAAAAGCCCAGGAGAGGGCCUCAACUUCAAGGGACCGCAGAGGCCAGGGUAAUGUAAUACCACAGAUAGUAGCCAGCUGCAGAGCACAUGACUUGCCCAGAGGAGUAGUGCUUGCUUAGCUCCAGUCAGUGGUUUCCCUGCAGCAACUGAGGGUCUAGAAUGUAGAAAUUAUGCAACAUCUCCCAAUGUUUAGGUGUUGCAAUGGAUUUUUUUUUUUUUUUUUUUGAGUCAGAGUCUCACUCUGUCGCCCAGGCUGGAGUGCAGAAGCAUGAUCUCUACUCACUGCAAGCUCUGCCUCCCGGGUUCAACCGAUUCUCCUGCCUCAGCCUCCCGAGUAGCUGGGAUUACAGGUGUGUGCCACCUGGCUAAUUUUUGUAUUUUCAGUAGAGUCAGGGUUUCACCAUGUUGGUUGGCUAGGCUGGUCUCAAACUCCUGACCUCAACUGAUCCUCCCGCCUCGGCUUCCCAAAGUGCUGGGAUUUCAGGCAUGAGCCACUGCGCCAGGCCAGCAAUGGAUUUUUUUUUUUUUUAACCUGUAACACAGCCCAGGAAAUCCUGAGAACAUGUGCCCUGCAUUUUAAAAGAUGAUAACACCACACUGCCCAAACAGAACACAUAUGAGGACCACAUUCAUCCCCGCGCUACCUGCAUGUAAACUCUAAGGAACUGGAAUCCUUCCUCCCAAAGUGAGAGGUCGGAUUCCCCCAAGGGCAAGAAGAAGGAGCAGCAGAUGCCCAGAGAGGCACUGAUGCUCCUCCUCUCAUAUAAAGUCCCCUGGUGAGCAGGGCUUUGGACUAGGGGUGGGGAUGGUGUAAAUGCCUGGGCACCAAGCACUAGGACUUCAGUCUCUAGGGCCACAGAGGGGGUCCUUCUGCUUAGCCAGGCUCUGGGGCAGUGCAUAUAGCCAGUAGGGCCAGCCUCUUUUUCUUGGAUUGGUAAGCCCUGUAGUGGAAGCUUCUGAGAGUGGCUGAUGUGGGCAGCUCAAUUUUGCCCAGACUGUGUAAGCCCUUGAGUCCUGGUACAAGCCCAGGAACAAAGAGGAGUCACUGGGGGAAAAAAGCCAGACAUUAGAAGUGGGGGCUUAAAGCAGGUUUUAUCCAAUUAAAAAAGAAAGAAAUAUGGCAUUUUUUACAUCUUGGGUAUCACAGAAAAAUUCAUACCUUUCAACAGAUUAAAUUAUUAUCAAGGCUGGGCAUGGUGGCUCAUGCCUAUAAUCCCAGCACUUUGGGAGGCUGAGGCAGAUGAGUUGCUUGAGCCCGGGAGUUCGAGACCAGCCUGGGCAACAUGUUGAAAUCCCAUCUUCACUAAAAAUACAAAAAUUAGCUGGGCAUGAUGGUGCAUGCAUGUAAUCCCAGCUAACUGGGAGGCUGAGGUGGGAGGAUCACUUGAGCCCUGGAGGUCGAGGCUCCAGUGAGCCAAGGUUGCAUCAUGGUGCUCCAGCCUGGGAGACAGAAUGAGACCCUGUCUAAAA
Molecule: long non-coding RNA, 2135 nt
Filed under: Homo sapiens (human)
Lineage: Eukaryota; Metazoa; Chordata; Mammalia; Primates; Hominidae
Description: non-protein coding lnc-FAM129B-3:1
Source: RNAcentral